This 7753-nucleotide long non-coding RNA is filed under the name Salmo salar (Atlantic salmon). Its description in RNAcentral is "lncRNA (ENSSSAG00000101581.1)". Lineage: Eukaryota; Metazoa; Chordata; Actinopteri; Salmoniformes; Salmonidae. The record is from RNAcentral.
AAAUAAAUAAGCAUAAAUAUGGGUUGUAUUUACGAUGGUGUUUGUUCUUCCUGGUUGACCUUUUCUUGUGGCAACAGGUCACACAUCUUGCUGCGGUGAUGGUACACUGGGAUUUCACCCAAUAGAUAGGGGAGUUUAUCAAAAUCGGGUUUGUUUUCGAAUUCUUUGAGGGUCUGUGUAAUCUGAUGGAAAUAUGUGUCUCUAAUAUGGUCAUACAUUUGGCAGGAGGUUAGAAAGUGCAGCUCAGUUUCCACCUCAUUUUGUGGGAAGUGUGCACAUAGCCGGUCUUCUCCAUCAGUGUUUUAUUCUAGGCUUCUACACUGCGAGAGAGCAGACACACCUCUCGAAAAUCGAAGGAGACUUGAUACGGCACUUCUGAUAUCUCGCCUGGAACUUCCUCUUUUAUAGCAGGUAGACUACUACUGUAGUAUUAACGCGCCUGUAUAUGUUGAACAGCUACUUAUUUGCCCCAGUAUCUGUGCUUUAGAGAUGUCGACGAUACACGUCAUACUCAUCGUCGACAUCUCUAACGCACAAAUACUGGCGCACUAGCAUACUUAUUAUUUGCUUAUGCUACCGUCUAUUUGUUCUUGCCGUUGGUCGGUGUCAGUAAAUGAAGGCCAAAGGGAAUUGUUGAAUCGUUCGUAUUAAAUAGCUUCUGCAUUUCGCUGAGCCAGCGUUUAUUUGGGAUAAGCAGAGAGGGGACACCUGUGGCUUUGUGAUAGAGAAGUAGGUUGCAGAUCUGCAGACAGCAUUUCGCAGAGGCAGACAUCGCGAUGAAGGACAUUUCGAGGGUUAUGGUGUACGGGUUUCCGACCGACCAUCAUCAAAAGCGACUGAACGAAGGAGGCCACGCGAGUCAAUGCAAUGGAGCUCCAGAGGUAACGUUAACCGGUCAUGACUGUUGACUAGGCUAGCGUUAGACACUGGACAACUUUGUUGCAACUCUAGUUGAAGGUAACUAGCUAAUUGCAUCUGAAGUGUUUUGUGUAACCCCCCCCCCAGCAAAUAAGGUUAGCAAGCAACUCAAUUGUAACUAAAAUUGCAACACAGUUUAUCCGUGUACCCCUGUUAUUAGGUAACGUUAGUUACUGUAGCUAGCUCCCACCUCAGAUAGUCAAGUACUGUAAUACAUUUUGUUGACAGAUUUGUUUUUGUAAUGUUUUGUUAACUCCACCUCAUUUAGCUAGACUGAAGUUGACAUAACUAAUGUUUGCUGAUAAAGACAUGUCCCUGUAUUUGCUGUGUGUGUGUGUGUGUGUGUGUGUUGAUAAAGCAUACAACAGGUAGCUUGUUAAUGCCAACUGAUAUAUGUGGGUUCAGUUGUCUUAACAAAACGUUUGCUUGUUUUCAGGAUGACAUCUUCAUCCCUGAAAAUGUUUUCAUCCUGCAGGAGGCAGGGGGUACAUGCAAAUCCAUGUUAUUUCUAAAGCUAUUGUUUAUUUCAAGUAUAUGCAGUGAUUUGAAUAUAACUAUAGCCUAAUAGAUGCAUUAAUUGUUUUCUACCAACAGGAAAGAACGGUUAGUACAGCAUGCCAAACUGACCCCUGGGUGGCAGAGUGUUCCUGUGCUGCGGUGGAGAAGAGGUCCACCGGGACCAUCACCAAAGAGCUCAGGGCCCAGCUAGAUUGCGCUCACGACCAUCAGUAUACAAUCGAGUCCUGCCCCUAUUUGCCACAGAUGGAGCUGAUGGAGAGUGAGAUCAGUGAAGACCAUAACUCGCUGAGAGCUCAGAAUCACACUCAUCACAGUGCGAGCCAAAAUAUACUAUCGAUCACUUUGGGGGAGCGGGAUGGUGUUCCGAAAAUGGAGAAGGAGCAGGCCAUUCAACAGCCAAUUCAAAGAUACACCCAUCCAUAAAGGGAAUUGGAGUGGAAUUAUUUUUUCAAAUAUGUUUUUUUACCCGUUUCAAUGGACGUGCUUCCUUGUCCUGGUUCUGCUGUUUCGACACUCUCUCAACCUAUUAUUGCUCAGCUAUGAAAAGCCAACUGACAUUUGCUCCUGAGGUGUUGAACUGUUGCACCCUCUAUAACCACUGUGGUUAUUAUUUUGAUGUAAAAAGGGCUUUUGUCAAUAUAUAUUUGAUUGAUUGAUUGUUUGCUGUGCUGGAUGCUGUGUAUUCACUAACUGUCUGAGUGAUGGAACAUUUUUGUAGUAUCUGUAACAUAUUUUGGUGUGUAUUUAAUGCAUCUUAACUUCUUUCCUUCAAAUAAUUUUAGAUGAUUUAUUGACUGGCUAUGGCUUUCCAGAUCACCCAACACUGCUAUUUGUAAGGUUAAUUUUAAGUGCAUGUUGUGAUUUUUUUUUUUACCAUUCCUGAACCUGUGACCAGAAACAAGCUACGUAGGGGCAAUACCAGAAUAAGUGAUCUACUGAUUCAGUCUCUUAGCUGCUCCCAUUACCUCACUGCUGAAGGGGGGUCCUGUAGUCUGCAGUGGUCGGUUGAGGCAGACAGGACUUUUGGGCAACUAAGAGUUUACCUCGGCUCCCGUGCUGGCCCAUCCGGAUCCCUCUUUGGCAUUCAUAGUGGAGGUGGACGCGUCCGAGGCUGGGAUUGGAGCUGUGCUCUCUCAGCGCUCGGGCACGCCACCAAAGCUCCGCCUCUGUGCUUUCUUCUCGAAGAAGCUCAGCCCGGCGGAGCGGAACUAUGAUGUGGGGGACCGGGGGCUGUUGGCUGUGGUUAAGGCUUUGAAGGCGUGGAGACAUUGGCUUGAGGGGGCUAAACACCCUUUCCUCAUCUGGACUGACCACCGCAACCUGGAGUACAUCCGUGCAGCUAGGAGACUGAAUCCUCGUCAGGCAAGGUGGGCCAUGUUCUUUACCCGUUUUGUGUUUACCCUGUCCUACAUACCAGGUUCCCAGAAUGUGAAGGCAGACGCACUGUCCCGGCUGUAUGACACAGAGGAGUGGCCCAUGGAUCAGACUCCCAUUCUCCCGGCCUCCUGCCUGGUAGCGCCGGUCGUGUGGGAGCUGGACGCGGACAUUGAGCAGGCGUUGCGUACAGAGACCGCUCCACCCCAGUGUCCCGUUGGGCGUCAAUACAUUCCGUCUGCUGUCCGUGACCAGUUGAUCUAUUGGGCCCACACAUCACCCUCCUCUGGUCAUCCGGGGAUCGGUCGGACGGUGCGCUGUCUGACUGGGAAGUACUGGUGGCCCACCUUGGCUCGGGACGUGAGGGUUUAUGUUUCCUCCUGCUCGGUGUGCGCCCAGUGUAAGGCUCCUAGACACCUGCCCAGAGGGAAGCUACAUCCCUUACCCGUUCCACAACGGCCUUGGUCACACCUGUCGGUGGAUUUUCUAACGGAUCUUCCUCCCUCACAGGGAAACACCACGAUCCUGGCCAUUGUGAAUUGUUUCUCUAAGUCCUGUUGUCUCCUCCCUCUGCCCGGUCUCCCUACGGCCCUACAAACUGCGGAGGUCCUGUUUACACACGUCCUCCGGCACUACGGGGUGCCUAAGGAUAUAGUGUCUGAUCGAGGUCCCCAGUUCACUUCGAGUCUGGAGGGCGUUCAUGGAACGUUUGGGGGUCUCGACCUGCCGGAAGCUGGGCCCACGGUUUGUCGGGCCAUUCAAAGUCCUGAGGAGAGUGAACAAGGUAUGUUACAGGUUACAGCUUCCCCCCGAUUACCAUAUUAACCCCUCGUUCCAUGUCUCUUCUCAGGCCGGUGGUGGCUGGUCCGCUCCAGGAGUCUAAGGUACGGGAGGUUCCUCCGCCCACUCUGGACAUCGAGGGGGCCCCGGCGUACUCCGUCCGUUCCAUCCUGGAUUCGAGGCGUCGGGCCUUCAGUACCUCAUGGAGUGGGAGGGGUACAGUCCGGAGGAGAGGUGCUGGGUUCCAGUGGCUGAUGUAUUGGACCCUGAACUGCUGCGUGAGUUCCACCGUCGCCGGCCGGAUCGCCCUGCACCUCGCCCUCCGGGUCGUCCCCGAGGCCGGUGUCGACGCACCGCUGGAGCCGCGCGUCGGGGGGGGAGUACUGUCACGACUUCCGCCGAAGUCGUCGACUCCUUGUUUGGGCGGCGGUCGACGUCACCGACUUUCUAGCUAUCGCCGCUCCAUUUUUCAUGUAUCCAUUUGUUUUUUCUUGUUCCCUGCACACCUGGUUUUCAUUCCCCAAUCAAUCUACAUGUAUUUAUUCCUCUGUUCCCCAUCAUGUCUUUGUGAAAGAUUGUUUGUGUUACAUGUUUAUUGUUGACGUGCUAGACUGGUUUGUUUUUUUCUGUGGUAUUUUUCACGAAGAUGUUUAUUGUUAAACAUAAUUCUUGUGACUGUUUUGCGCAUUUUGCCCUUUUGCCUCAGUGUGCGCCUGUUCACAAAUCUCUGCUCUCCUGCACCUGACCUCGUUACCAGUACACACACACCUGACAACCAUCCGCCCAUUUUAUUGGUAAACUACAAGGUACUGUAUACAGUGUAUUUUUUUACGAUCCAAUACGUAAUAUGGUACACUUGUCAUAAUUAGGGUUUAAUCCAGAUUGGCUAGAAAAGUGAUCAAGAUCUUCAAUGAGAUUGUGCAGGGAUCCAGAUUGCGGACUUAAGAAAAAAAUAGUCAUCAGCAUACAUUGACACUUUUGUUUAUAUCCCCUGGAUUUCUAACCCCUUGAUGUUCUUGUUGGAUCUAAUGUUAAUAGCUAGCAUUUCAAUGGCAAUAAUAAAUAAAUAUGGAGACAACAGACAGCCUUGCUUUACUCCUCUUAAAAGCUCAUUACUUUCUGAGAAGUAACCAUUGGUUACUAUUUUACAUCUGGGGUUGCUAUACAUAACUUUAACCCAUUGUAUAAGAGAUUCACCAAAAUUAAAGUAUUCCAGGCAUUUAUAUACAAAUUCUAAUUGUACUUUAUCAAACGUCUUUUCAAAAUCUGCUAUGAAGACCAAACCUGGUAUCUUCAAUGUUUCAUAAUGUUCAAUUGUUUCAAGUAAUUGUCAUAUUAUCUCCAAUAUAUCGUCCAUGUAAAAAAACUUUAUUCUAUAUGCUAUGCAUUUCACAUCAUAAAAUUGAAGUGUUAGAGGCUUCCAGUUUUUUAAACGGACUGGAUCUUUAUACUUACAAUCUGGGUCCUGUUUUAGUAGUAAUGAAAUCAGACCUUGUUGAGUACCUGAAAGUCUACCAUUAACUUCUUAAAGUGUCAAUCAGCAGUAGAAACAAUAACAAAGUGUCACCAAUGCUCCUCUUUUGGUAAAAAGCUGAGGGAUGGGGCUGGAAAAAUAUAACCACUCAAAUUCAUAGACAGCGCUAUAGAUGCAAGGAAUGGCCAUCCAUGAUAUCAGCAUUGUAAUCCUGUUUCUAUUAUCUUUUUCCACUACCAUGUACCCAGUUCGCUUUGGAUGAAAGUGUCUGCUAAAUGGCAAAUAUUAUUAAAGUCUACUUUGACUCUGCAACUAGCUGCCCAGUGUAGUUACCAUUCCUUUCCAAUAGAUGGCAGCCAAAGCUAGUUGAAGUCAUUACUCUAGUGACAGAGACACGGGAUUAGAAGGCACUGAAAGUAGUUUUAUCUUCAAAUGAAGUUUAUUUGGUUACGCUUGAACCUGUUGUUAUAGUGGACAAGUUAACCAAUACUAUUUUACAUAAGGCGCAGACAUUAGAUCUGGGUCUUAGGCUAGGCUAGAUUUACUCAAUGAACUGGUUUUAUUUAACAUUUUAUUCAAUGCCUUUGCUUCUGGCUAUGUGUGCAUUAUGGAAGAAAUGACACACGCAGGAAUGAGACGCCUUACACCUUGUCCAAUUCUCUCUUGUGCCCAUAGGGUGAACUGGCGAUAAACUGCCAGCCUGUAUGCUCUGCAAACAAAAUCAUAAGAAAAGUUAGUCUGAUACCGAAACAAUAUCACAAUGUAUUGUGGUGUACAGCAGGUGAGCCACCAGGGGGAGACUCGUCGAGGCCUGGUGGCAGACGGUGAUUACAUCACGAGGCGAUGGCGCCCUCUGCAGGACGUGCCAGGUCUUGACGGGCUCUCUGGCCAGGACUAAUUGGGGCUGAUUGUGGUUGGUGGGUAAUCAAGGGCUGAUUUGCUCACCAGCUAGCUGUACGAGUCCCAUAAAGUUGCCAGAAGGGCAGCACACAAGGAGAGGUACUGGGGAAGAAGGGUGACUUCCGUAUAGUUGGAGACGUUGCCCGAGCUAAAAGGAGGGAGUUCAGUUUUUGUGCCCGACAGGAUACAGCAAGACCCGGAGCCCAGAAGACGGUAUCCCGGAGAGGGUCUCAUGGGGGAGACCUAUCAUUUUCUUUAGAUGUAUUAUUUAAAUAAACACCCUUGAAACUGAGAUAAUCCUACUGAUCUGUGUCUGAUCUGUGUAAACGUCUUGACCAAACCCUCUGGUCUGCCACAGUAUUUAUAAUGAGCACGCCCCAUUGCUGGUUAGAACGAGAUUUCAUGAAUCAUGACGCUGUCUGCGAUUGGAACUCUGGUCGUCUAAUCUAAAGGUAAAUGUGUUACCAAUGCACCAAACAGCGCUGAUGAUAAACGUCGUUAUAGGAUACUGAUUAUAUAUAUUGACCACCGACACGUCCAAUAAAUACAUUGCCAUCCAGACAGGCUGACAGGAACCUCUGACAGUAUGUAAUACAGCCACCAUCCGCUGGGAUUUUGUGCUGUAUCGCCACCACCUCUCUAUAACACACACACACUUCUACUCUAGCAAUUACCUGGCAUCAUCCCCACAAACACCACUUUGUGUUUGGCUACGCCGACUCUCUGGCUGAGGUGUUUCAGGCGGCAUAUCUGUGUUGUUACUGCUACGAGAACGAACUCUUGAUCUGGUGCAACGAUCGGCUCAAACAUGACCAGCUUCAGUAGAUUUAUUGGCUCCCUAAUUAACAUUUUUCAUUCUCAGACUUGAAGCUACUCGGUAAAUUAAGCUAUUUUUGGGAGUUCCAAAAUGUUCUCUCCUGCUAGUGACGCAACAAUGCCAAUAUGGCGAUUUACAGUUACAGUUAGCUGACGUUCAAAAUCAUAGGGUUUCCAUUCCCCUUUAAGCCUGUGUGCGCUGUACUGUGUUCGUGCCAGGGCCCGGACUUGAACCCGAUCGAAAAUCUCUUGAGAGACCUGAAAAUUGUGUAGCGAUGCUCCCCAUCCAACCUGACAGAGCUUGAGAGGAUUUGCAGAGAAAAAUGGCGGAAACUCCCCAAAUACAGGUGUACCAAGCUCAUACCCAAGACUCAAGCGUCAUACCCAAGAAGACUCAAAUGGCUCUGGCUUGCUGAUGUCAUCUGAUCUGAUGAGACUCCCUAUGUGAUUUGACUCCUGUAUUACUGACUGUAUUCAACGACAAAAAAACAUCCAAUGCCGAAUAUAGAUCAUUUGGGAUUCUGUAAUUGAUAGACGAUGGUGUCAAAUCCAAUUCAAAAGCAUGAGAUGGCACGCACGAGCAAGAUGCGCGACCAAACACUGAGUUAAGAGAGAAGAAAUGUGGUCCAGCGAGAAGAGGAUGGGUCCCCUGCACAGGUCAGGGAGAAUUCAGAGGACAGUGCUAAGUAUGGGAGGUGAGCAAGCGCCUGAAUGCUCAGCUGAAAGAGUCUGAGAAGAGACACCAGGAGGAGAAGGACUGAAUGCAGACUGAAAGCGGUGAGUUCAGCCGGCGUCUUGACAAGCAGUCGAAGCACCUGCAGCGAGUGGAGGGGUAGGCGGAGGAGCAAGGUCAGAGGCUGGAGGAGUUUAAGCGGCUGCUGGGGGGCAUGGAGCUGGAGGGUGUUGUCCUGAAAAAUGGCCGCCAGCGAGGCUGAACUGCUGCAGCUGAGAGCAGCCGGCGGUGGGGGGGGG